Molecule: ribosomal RNA, 119 nt
Filed under: Pteropus alecto (black flying fox)
Lineage: Eukaryota; Metazoa; Chordata; Mammalia; Chiroptera; Pteropodidae
Source: RNAcentral
GUCUAUGGCCAUGCCACCCUGAACAAGCCCAAUCCCAUCUGAUCUUGGAAGCUAAGCAGGGUCGGGCCUGGUUAGUACUUGGAUGGGAGACCACCUAGGAAGACAAGGCACUGCAGGUA